Molecule: unclassified non-coding RNA, 315 nt
Filed under: plant metagenome
Description: partial contains 5.8S ribosomal RNA, internal transcribed spacer 2, and large subunit ribosomal RNA
Rfam family: 5.8S ribosomal RNA (bases 1-105)
Source: RNAcentral
GAACUGCGAUAAGUAAUGUGAAUUGCAGAAUUCAGUGAAUCAUCGAGUCUUUGAACGCACAUUGCGCCCCCUGGCAUUCCGGGGGGCAUGCCUGUCCGAGCGUCAUUGCUGCCCUUCAAGCCCGGCUUGUGUGUUGGGUCGUCGUCCCCUCCGGGGGACGGGCCCGAAAGGCAGCGGCGGCACCGCGUCCGGUCCUCGAGCGUAUGGGGCUUUGUCACCCGCUCGAUAAGGACCGGCCGGGCGCCAGCCGGCGUCUCCAACCUUUUUUUCUCAGGUUGACCUCGGAUCAGGUAGGGAUACCCGCUGAGCUUAAGC